This 243-nucleotide ribosomal RNA is filed under the name uncultured Staphylococcus sp. RNAcentral's name for it is "partial 16S ribosomal RNA". It matches the Rfam family "Bacterial small subunit ribosomal RNA", at positions 102 to 334 of the family's 1533-position model. Lineage: Bacteria; Bacillati; Bacillota; Bacilli; Caryophanales; Staphylococcaceae. The record is from RNAcentral.
CGGCGACGGGUGAGUAACACGUGGAUAACCUACCUAUAAGACUGGGAUAACUUCGGGAAACCGGAGCUAAUACCGGAUAACAUGUUGAACCGCAUGGUUCAACAGUGAAAGACGGUCUUGCUGUCACUUAUAGAUGGAUCCGCGCCGCAUUAGCUAGUUGGUAAGGUAACGGCUUACCAAGGCAACGAUGCGUAGCCGACCUGAGAGGGUGAUCGGCCACACUGGAACUGAGACACGGUCCAG